GAGAGGUGCUGCAUGGCUGUCGUCAGCUCGUGUUGUGAAAUGUUGGGUUAAGUCUCGCAACGAGCGCAACCUCUAUCGUCUGUUGCCAGCAUUAAGUUGGGCACUCUGACGAGACUGCCUGGGUUAACCAGGAGGAAGGUGGAGAUGACGUCAAGUCCUCAUGGCCCUUAUGUCUAGGGCUACACACGUAAUACAAUGGCACGUACAGAGGGAAGCGAACUCGCGAGGGGGAGCAAAUCUCAAAAAACGUGCCUCAGUUCGGAUUGGAGUCUGCAACUCGACUCCAUGAAGUUGGAAUCGCUAGUA
This 306-nucleotide ribosomal RNA is filed under the name uncultured Peredibacter sp. Its description in RNAcentral is "bacterial SSU rRNA". It matches the Rfam family "Bacterial small subunit ribosomal RNA", at positions 1033 to 1340 of the family's 1533-position model. Lineage: Bacteria; Pseudomonadati; Bdellovibrionota; Bacteriovoracia; Bacteriovoracales; Bacteriovoracaceae. The record is from RNAcentral.